GAUGGACGCUGGCGGCGUGCUUAACACAUGCAAGUCGAACGAUGAAGCCCAGCUUGCUGGGUGGAUUAGUGGCGAACGGGUGAGUAACACGUGAGUAACCUGCCCUUAACUCUGGGAUAAGCCUGGGAAACUGGGUCUCAUACCGGAUAGGAGCGUCCACCGCAUGGUGGGUGUUGGAAAGAUUUAUCGGUUUUGGAUGGACUCGCGGCCUAUCAGCUUGUUGGUGAGGUAAUGGCUCACCAAGGCGACGACGGGUAGCCGGCCUGAGAGGGUGACCGGCCACACUGGGACUGAGACACGGCCCAGACUCCUACGGGAGGCAGCAGUGGGGAAUAUUGCACAAUGGGCGCAAGCCUGAUGCAGCGACGCCGCGUGAGGGAUGACGGCCUUCGGGUUGUAAACCUCUUUCAGUAGGGAAGAAGCGAAAGUGACGGUACCUGCAGAAGAAGCACCGGCUAACUACGUG
Molecule: ribosomal RNA, 466 nt
Filed under: uncultured bacterium
Lineage: Bacteria
Description: partial 16S ribosomal RNA
Rfam family: Bacterial small subunit ribosomal RNA
Source: RNAcentral